Molecule: ribosomal RNA, 457 nt
Filed under: uncultured bacterium
Lineage: Bacteria
Description: bacterial SSU rRNA
Rfam family: Bacterial small subunit ribosomal RNA
Source: RNAcentral
UACGGGAGGUAGCAGUGGGGAAUAUUGCACAAUGGGCGAAAGCCUGAUGCAGCCAUGCCGCGUGUAUGAAGAAGGCCUUCGGGUUGUAAAGUACUUUUCAGUCGUGAGGAAGGUGUUAAGGUUAAUAACCUUAGCAAUUGACGUUAGCGACAGAAGAAGCACCGGCUAACUCCGUGCCAGCAGCCGCGGUAAUACGGAGGGUGCGAGCGUUAAUCGGAAUUACUGGGCGUAAAGGGCACGCAGGCGGUUAAUUAAGUUGGAUGUGAAAUCCCCGGGCUUAACCUGGGAAUGGCAUUCAAGACUGGUUAGCUAGAGUCUUGUAGAGGGGGUUAGAAUUCCAUGUGUAGCGGUGAAAUGCGUAGAGAUGUGGAGGAAUACCGGUGGCGAAGGCGGCCCCUGGACAAAGACCUGACGCUCAUGUGCGAAAGCUGGGGAGCAAACAGGGAUUAGAUACCCG